AGUGAACGCUGGCGGUAGGCCUAACACAUGCAAGUCGAACGGCAGCACAGUAAGAGCUUGCUCUUACGGGUGGCGAGUGGCGGACGGGUGAGGAAUACAUCGGAAUCUACUUUUUCGUGGGGGAUAACGUAGGGAAACUUACGCUAAUACCGCAUACGACCUACGGGUGAAAGCAGGGGAUCUUCGGACCUUGCGCGAUUGAAUGAGCCGAUGCCGGAUUAGCUAGUUGGCGGGGUAAAGGCCCACCAAGGCGACGAUCCGUAGCUGGUCUGAGAGGAUGAUCAGCCACACUGGAACUGAGACACGGUCCCGACUCCUACGGGAGGCAGCAGUGGGGAAUAUUGGACAAUGGGCGCAAGCCUGAUCCAGCCAUACCGCGUGGGUGAAGAAGGCCUUCGGGUUGUAAAGCCCUUUUGUUGGGAAAGAAAAGCAGCAGGUUAAUACCCCGCUGUUCUGACGGUACCCAAAGAAUAAGCACCGGCUAACUUCGUG
This 492-nucleotide ribosomal RNA is filed under the name uncultured bacterium. Its description in RNAcentral is "partial 16S ribosomal RNA". It matches the Rfam family "Bacterial small subunit ribosomal RNA", at positions 29 to 507 of the family's 1533-position model. The record is from RNAcentral.